AAGGACUUAAGUUAAUUUAAACUAGUAGCCUUCAAAGUUACAAAUAAAAAUAAAAUUUAGGCCUUA
Molecule: transfer RNA, 66 nt
Filed under: Falconius longicornis
Lineage: Eukaryota; Metazoa; Arthropoda; Insecta; Orthoptera; Tetrigidae
Description: tRNA-Trp
Source: RNAcentral